RNAcentral lists this ribosomal RNA (404 nucleotides) under uncultured bacterium. RNAcentral's name for it is "bacterial SSU rRNA". It matches the Rfam family "Bacterial small subunit ribosomal RNA", at positions 11 to 429 of the family's 1533-position model. The record is from RNAcentral.
GUUUGAUCCUGGCUCAGAAUCAACGCUGGCGGCGUGCCUAACACAUGCAAGUCGCACGAGAAAGGGUAGCAAUACCUGAGUAAAGUGGCGCACGGGUGAGUAACACGUGACUAAUCUACCCUCGAGUGGGGAAUAACUGAGAGAAAUCUUAGCUAAUACCGCAUAACACUUACGAGUCAAAGCAGCAAUGCGCUUGGGGAGGAGGUCGCGGCCGAUUAGCUAGUUGGCGGGGUAAUGGCCCACCAAGGCGAUGAUCGGUAUCCGGCCUGAGAGGGCGCACGGACACACUGGAACUGAAACACGGUCCAGACUCCUACGGGAGGCAGCAGUGGGGAAUUUUGCGCAAUGGGGGAAACCCUGACGCAGCAACGCCGCGUGGAGGAUGAAAUAUCUUGGUAUGUAAA